This 1380-nucleotide ribosomal RNA is filed under the name Triticum aestivum (bread wheat). Its description in RNAcentral is "partial small subunit ribosomal RNA". The record is from RNAcentral. Lineage: Eukaryota; Viridiplantae; Streptophyta; Magnoliopsida; Poales; Poaceae.
AUGUCGUCCUCCGUCUCCGCCGCCGUUCUCCGCCGCCUCGGCGACCGGCUCGGCCUCCGCCGACUCGCGACGCUCCCCGACUACGCGGCCGGCGCCGAGGAGCUUCCGCAGCACCCCACCUCCAAGGACGCCUACUUCGCGGCGGUCAACCACCUCUCCACCAUCGUACGGCGCGACUUCUACCUGGAGCGCACCCUGAACCGCCUCCGCCUGCCGUCCCCCUUCCCGCCGGACCUCGCGCUCCGCGUCAUCCGCGCCGCUGCCCCCUCCGAGCCCCUCCACGCCGCCCGCUUCCUAGCGUGGCUCCGGGCGAAGCCCAAUUUCUCCCCCUCCGCCGAUCACUUCGACGCGCUGCUCCUCCCGCUCGCCCGCGCGCGCCUCUUCACCCACCUCUGGACCCAGGCCUCCGACAUGCGCGCGCUCGGCCUCCCCCUCUCUCCGGCAACCUUCUCGGCGGUUAUCUCGUCCUACGGCCACUCCCGCCUCGCCGAGCAGGCCGUCGAGGUCUUCAAUCGCCUUCCCCACUUCGGGUGCCCGCAGACCACCGAGGUCUACAACGCCCUUCUGGACGCGCUCUGCGCCAACGGCAACUUCGCCGGCGCCUACAAGCUGCUACGCCGCAUGGCGCGCAAGGGCGUGGCCCCCGACCGCGCCACGUUCAGCACGCUCGUCGACGCCUGGUGCGCGUCGGGGAAGCUCCGGGAGGCGCAGGCGUUCCUCGACGACAUGUCGUCCCGCGGGUUCCGGCCGCCGGUGCGCGGUCGGGACCUCCUCGUCGACGGGCUCGUCCGAGCUGGGCGCCUGGAGGAAGCCAAGGCAUUCGCCCUCCGCAUCACCAAGGAGGGCGUCCUCCCCGACGUGGCCACAUUCAACUCGCUCGCCCAGGCGCUUUGCGAUGCAGGUGAUGUGGAAUUCGCCGUGGGUCUUCUUGCCGAUGCUUCCAGUCGUGGCAUGUGCCCAGAUAUCUCAACUUACAAAGUGAUGCUACCGGCGGUGGCCAAGGCUGGCCGAAUUGAGGAGGCAUUCAGAUUGUUCUAUGCAGCUAUUGAGGAUGGCCACCGGCCCUUCCCAAGUCUAUAUGCGGCGAUCGUCAAGGCGCUCUGCAAGGCAGGUCGUUUCGCUGAUGCUUUCGCCUUUUUUGGUGAUAUGAAGUCCAAGGGGCACCCACCUAAUCGGCCUGUGUAUGUGAUGCUUGUCAAAAUGUGUGUGAGGGGUGGUCGGUUCUUGGAUGCUGCAAACUACCUUCUUGAGAUGAAUGAGGCUGGGUUCGCGCCACGGGCGCCAACCUUUAACGUUGUAGUUGAUGGGCUGCGGCAUCUUGGGAAACAUGACCUAGCCCGGAGGAUGGAGCAGCUUGAGAUGUCACUAAAAGGAAACUGA